GUGGCAAAUGCAGCUUCCGAGGAAGGUAGUAGUAGUUGUACUGUUGUACUAACAAAGGACCAGCUUGGGGAAUCUGAAACAAUAUUGACAAGAUUUAAUAACAUUCAGAAAUGUUGCUACGGUCUUAAUUUAAAGAACACUUUGAUUUAUGGAGGUAAAUUAAUGUUUAUGAAUAUAUGAUAAUUUAUAUUUUUUAAAGAGUAUAUUCAAAAUGUCUUUGUAAUAAAUUUAAACACGUGUCAAUAUACGUUUGAUUUGGCAAAUGCAGUAGACGUUAAGAGUGUAGGUGGUUAAUACACACUGGAAACGCUGAAUAAUAUGGGGAAAUGAUUUAUUGUGUACAUUGUCUCAAUAUUUAUACAUGUAGAUAUUUUCAGCAAUUAGGAAAAAAUACAAUUCCUAUUUUGCAGUUUCUUGUAUUGUUAGCAGUUGUAAAUGAAAUCUAUGAUAUAUCAACAUGUGUUAGCGUGUGGACACCGCACCCAACUACAGGUUGGUCUAUACACAAUGACAGAUAUUGUGGUGAUUGUGGUAAUUCAGUUUGACCUCUUUGUGUCAAUAUUCAGAUCACAACUACAGGGCACUGACAGAUGCGCAUGCGUACGACGCGCUGGAACAGCUGAGACACCUGAAAAUCGCGGAUAUUAUGAAGGAUUAUUUAUUUUCCUACCUCACAGACGAACGCUGAUAUGUUGCACUUUACACCUAUCAAAAAACCCAACGUAAAGCUGGUUUUAUGUCGCCUAAAUCAGCCACAACACGCUACAGGAAACCGUUAGACGCAUCUCCAAGGCAGCAGGGAUAGAAGGGGGAAAGACGCAUCUCCAAUGCAGCAGGGAUAGAAGGGGAAAAGACAAACCAUUCUCUGCGGGCCAGAGCAGCAGCUUGUCCACAUCAGGCAGAUGUCAACGAACAACUCGUAUGCAAAGAAACAGAUAAAACUUUUUUUCUGUUUACAGGGCCACUAUGUCCGUGUUUUACAAAGCUACUCUUGCACAGCGAUGACGUGCAGCCGCCUUGAGCCAUUCGUAUGCUUAGAUUUUAAGCUAGUCACAGAAGCGUGCAAUGUCAAGAGGGCGUGUGGCGCCCAGGAAGCUGACGUUCCUGCCCUAAUGACGGUUAAGAAAAAAUGGUGGAAACCAGUUUUGAAAACGCGUCCGGACGAGGCACUGACCAAGUUACCAGAUGAGGACAAGAAAACGGUCAGCACAUUUGGGCGAGAAUACAUUUCCGUAAUGAUCCACUUCAGUUAACCGAGUGGUGCAAAUAAACAGCUUGAUCACGUGUU
This 1288-nucleotide long non-coding RNA is filed under the name Haliotis rufescens (red abalone). RNAcentral's name for it is "uncharacterized LOC124148616, transcript variant X1". The record is from RNAcentral. Lineage: Eukaryota; Metazoa; Mollusca; Gastropoda; Lepetellida; Haliotidae.